AACCCACUUUUCCAAGUUCCUAAUCAACUCUUCACUUUACUCUCCCCAACUUUAGAUUUCAAAACCAAAUUUAUUCAAUAAUGCUCCCUACUUAGACAUAAGCAAAAGGCAAAAUUAUGCAAACAACUCGGUUUGAGGUUUCAACUGACACGAAAGAAAUUAAGAUUCAUUUAUUCCACAAUUUUCAAUUGAUUUUACAAUGAUCAAUCAAAU
RNAcentral lists this long non-coding RNA (213 nucleotides) under Lathyrus oleraceus (garden pea). RNAcentral describes it as "Pisum sativum (pea) long non-coding RNA (PSAT_LNC001329)". Lineage: Eukaryota; Viridiplantae; Streptophyta; Magnoliopsida; Fabales; Fabaceae. The record is from RNAcentral.